UUUAUAUGAGAGUUUGAUCCUGGCUCAGGAUGAACGCUGGCGGCGUGCCUAAUACAUGCAAGUCGAACGAGUUCUCGUUGAUGAUCGGUGCUUGCACCGAGAUUCAACAUGGAACGAGUGGCGGACGGGUGAGUAACACGUGGGUAACCUGCCCUUAAGUGGGGGAUAACAUUUGGAAACAGAUGCUAAUACCGCAUAGAUCCAAGAACCGCAUGGUUCUUGGCUGAAAGAUGGCGUAAGCUAUCGCUUUUGGAUGGGCCCGCGGCGUAUUAGCUAGUUGGUGAGGUAAUGGCUCACCAAGGCGAUGAUACGUAGCCGAACUGAGAGGUUGAUCGGCCACAUUGGGACUGAGACACGGCCCAAACUCCUACGGGA
This 375-nucleotide ribosomal RNA is filed under the name Lacticaseibacillus casei 21/1. RNAcentral's name for it is "bacterial SSU rRNA". It matches the Rfam family "Bacterial small subunit ribosomal RNA", at positions 1 to 346 of the family's 1533-position model. The record is from RNAcentral. Lineage: Bacteria; Bacillati; Bacillota; Bacilli; Lactobacillales; Lactobacillaceae.